UGAGGAAUAUUGGGCAAUGCCCGCAAGGGUGACCCAGCAACGCCGCGUGGAGGAUGAAUGUCGUAAGAUUGUAAACUCCUGUUAGAGGGGAAGAAUAGUACCGGUUGGACCGGUAUAUGACUGUACCCUCAGAGAAAGCCCCGGCUAACUACGUGCCAGCAGCCGCGGUAAUACGUAGGGGGCAAGCGUUGUCCGGAUCUACUGGGUGUAAAGGGCGCGCAGGCGGGAUAAAAAGUCAGUGGUGAAAACCUACAGCUUAACUGUAGAACUGCCUUUGAUACUUUUAUUCUUGAGUUCGGGAGAGAGAGACGGAAUUCCAGGUGUAGUGGUGAAAUACGUAGAUAUCUGGAAGAACACCAGUUGCGAAGGCGGUCUCUUGGUCCGACACUGACGCUGAGGCGCGAAAGCGUGGGGAGCAAACA
RNAcentral lists this ribosomal RNA (422 nucleotides) under uncultured bacterium. RNAcentral's name for it is "bacterial SSU rRNA". It matches the Rfam family "Bacterial small subunit ribosomal RNA", at positions 355 to 774 of the family's 1533-position model. The record is from RNAcentral.